AUUGAACGCUGGCGGCAUGCCUUACACAUGCAAGUCGAACGGCAGCGCGGACUUCGGUCUGGCGGCGAGUGGCGAACGGGUGAGUAAUGCAUCGGAACGUGCCUUUCAGUGGGGGAUAACGUAGCGAAAGUUACGCUAAUACCGCAUAUUCUCUCCGGAGGAAAGCAGGGGAUCGCAAGACCUUGCGCUGAUAGAGCGGCCGAUGUCGGAUUAGCUAGUUGGUGAGGUAAAGGCUCACCAAGGCGACGAUCCGUAGCGGGUCUGAGAGGAUGAUCCGCCACACUGGGACUGAGACACGGCCCAGACUCCUACGGGAGGCAGCAGUGGGGAAUUUUGGACAAUGGGGGCAACCCUGAUCCAGCCAUGCCGCGUGAGUGAAGAAUGCCUUCGGGUUGUAAAGCUCUUUCGGCCGGGAAGAAAUCGUGUGGGCUAAUAACCUGCAUGGAUGACGGUACCGGAAUAAGAAGCACCGGCUAACUACGUGCCAGCCGCCGCCGUAA
Molecule: ribosomal RNA, 500 nt
Filed under: uncultured bacterium
Lineage: Bacteria
Description: partial 16S ribosomal RNA
Rfam family: Bacterial small subunit ribosomal RNA
Source: RNAcentral